Molecule: ribosomal RNA, 478 nt
Filed under: uncultured bacterium
Lineage: Bacteria
Description: partial 16S ribosomal RNA
Rfam family: Bacterial small subunit ribosomal RNA
Source: RNAcentral
GAUGAACGCUGGCGGCGUGCUUAACACAUGCAAGUCGAACGAGAAGUGAAGACGGAAACCUUCGGGCGGAAGGCUUUAUUUCGAGUGGCGGACGGGUGAGUAACGCGUGGGUAACCUGCCUCAUACAGGGGGAUAACAGUUGGAAACGACUGUUAAUACCGCAUAAGACCACAGCACCGCAUGGUGCGGGGGUAAAAACUCCGGUGGUAUGAGAUGGACCCGCGUUCGAUUAGCCAGUUGGCGGGGUAACGGCCCACCAAAGCGACGAUCGAUAGCCGAUCUGAGAGGAUGACCGGCCACAUUGGGGCUGAGACACGGCCCAAACUCCUACGGGAGGCAGCAGUGGGGAAUAUUGCACAAUGGGGGAAACCCUGAUGCAGCGACGCCGCGUGAGUGAAGAAGUAUUUCGGUAUGUAAAGCUCUAUCAGCAGGGAAGAAAAUGACGGUACCUGAGUAAGAAGCCCCGGCUAACUACGUG